Long non-coding RNA from Amphimedon queenslandica, 937 nucleotides. RefSeq lists it as uncharacterized. The transcript has 9 exons. NCBI's taxonomy places the organism in Eukaryota, Metazoa, Porifera, Demospongiae, Haplosclerida, Niphatidae. The record is from RefSeq and is a predicted model, not a curated record.
CUUAAUCUGACUCUUUAAGAGGAAUCUUGUUGGCUGUAUAUACUAGGGCUAAAUCACUGGAUGUUAUGCUAUUUUGAACCAUUUAUUACAUAAACAUGAGUAGGAUAAGGAUACACGAUAUUUUGAGUAAAAAGUAGGCACAUGUAGAUACACAAUCAAGCUAAAUAAAUUAAUUGAGCAGAUACAUGACUGGAAAAUAAAACGACUGACACCUUCCAAUUAAAGUUUACCACAUCUUGCCUACAAAAUCUCUGUGAUACGAAAGUAGAGACCUGGGUUUAUGAGGAAUUAUCAAAGGGUAUUGAGCCAAGCAUUGAAACAGAGCCAGAAGACCUUUCUGCAAUAAUCAUGACACUAGUGAAGACGAUGAGAAAUCAGGCGGUGAAUGUAUUAGUGAUCAUGAUGAUGAAGAUAUUGUACUGAGAGACUUAUGAAUGAUAGUCACAAGUGUGAAUUUUUGAUGCGGAAGAUUAUUCUGGAAAUAUUAGUAUAGUAGGUGCUCCUUUAAUUCAUAUUAAUUUAUUAAUUUAGCAAGGCCACUAGUAUACAUUCUAUAGUUACCUUAUCUCACUAAGUUUCAAGACAAGAAUAUCUUAGGUUGUGAUGAACUGAAACUUUCUUGUUUAAAGCUCUUGUUAAGUUCACUUCAAAUAGCAUUGAAUUUUUUUGUGAACCUGCCUUCAUCAUGCUGGUUAAGGAAGUUAUGUUAUGGAACUAAGCUUUGUAGGACUAUGUGUGACAAGAUACCUUUGAAAGAUCUGCUUCACUACAUGGAACCCGAGAGUUCAUUAAUGUUGGAGAUUUUGGGAAAUUAAUUUCUCAGUAAUGUGUCUUAAGUUACAAAACAUAAAGUGUCUUACUUGUGGAACAUUGGUAGACUAUGAUGAAGAAAACAAUUAUAAUCUUUUUUUGGUUUUAAUAAUAAUUCCAAAUCAUU